RNAcentral lists this unclassified non-coding RNA (314 nucleotides) under plant metagenome. RNAcentral's name for it is "partial contains 5.8S ribosomal RNA, internal transcribed spacer 2, and large subunit ribosomal RNA". The stretch from base 1 to 105 matches the Rfam family "5.8S ribosomal RNA", at positions 50 to 154 of the family's 154-position model. The record is from RNAcentral.
GAAAUGCGAUAAUUAAUGUGAAUUGCAGAAUUCAGUGAAUCAUCGAGUCUUUGAACGCACAUUGCGCCCCCUGGUAUUCCGGGGGGCAUGCCUGUCCGAGCGUCAUUGCUGCCCUCAAGCACGGCUUGUGUGUUGGGCUUCCGUCCCUGGCAACGGGGACGGGCCCAAAAGGCAGUGGCGGCACCAUGUCUGGUCCUCGAGCGUAUGGGGCUUUGUCACCCGCUCCCGUAGGUCCAGCUGGCAGCUAGCCUCGCAACCAAUCUUUUUAACCAGGUUGACCUCGGAUCAGGUAGGGAUAACCGCUGAACUUAAGC